RNAcentral lists this small RNA (77 nucleotides) under Xanthomonas axonopodis. RNAcentral describes it as "sX9 sRNA". It matches the Rfam family "Xanthomonas sRNA sX9". Lineage: Bacteria; Pseudomonadati; Pseudomonadota; Gammaproteobacteria; Lysobacterales; Lysobacteraceae. RNAcentral also lists the same sequence under 31 other names. The record is from RNAcentral.
AUGUGCCACAUGUACGCUGCGGUUCUGAGCGCGCCGUCCGCGCCCACCUGACGGCUGCUCGCUACGUUUUGUUAGCC